This 566-nucleotide ribosomal RNA is filed under the name Vibrio sp. MR11-48. Its description in RNAcentral is "bacterial SSU rRNA". It matches the Rfam family "Bacterial small subunit ribosomal RNA", at positions 826 to 1391 of the family's 1533-position model. The record is from RNAcentral. Lineage: Bacteria; Pseudomonadati; Pseudomonadota; Gammaproteobacteria; Vibrionales; Vibrionaceae.
GUGGCCUUGAGCCGUGGCUUUCGGAGCUAACGCGUUAAGUAGACCNCCUGGGGAGUACGGUCGCAAGAUUAAAACUCAAAUGAAUUGACGGGGGNCCGCACAAGCGGUGGAGCAUGUGGUUUAAUUCGAUGCAACGCGAAGAACCUUACCUACUCUUGACAUCCAGAGANNUNGCUAGAGAUAGCUUAGUGCCUUCGGGAACUCUGAGACAGGUGCUGCAUGGCUGUCGUCAGCUCGUGUUGUGAAAUGUUGGGUUAAGUCCCGCAACGAGCGCAACCCUUAUCCUUGUUUGCCAGCACGUAAUGGUGGGAACUCCAGGGAGACUGCCGGUGAUAAACCGGAGGAAGGUGGGGACGACGUCAAGUCAUCAUGGCCCUUACGAGUAGGGCUACACACGUGCUACAAUGGCGCAUACAGAGGGCANCCAACCAGCGAUGGUGAGCGAAUCCCAAAAAGUGCGUCGUAGUCCGGAUUGGAGUCUGCAACUCGACUCCAUGAAGUCGGAAUCGCUAGUAAUCGUGAAUCAGAAUGUCACGGUGAAUACGUUCCCGGGCCUUGUACACNCC